AUGGCCAACUACUUUGCCCCCGAUGCACUAUUCGCUGAGCAUUUUUGUCGGUGUUUUCGGAUGAGCAAGACUGUCUUCGAUCGUUCGUACAAUGUCAUUCGGUCCUACGAUGACUACUUCAUCCUGAAGAAGGAUGCCGUGGGAACGGUCGGCUUCUCUAGUUACCAUAAGUGCACGGCCACACUCUGGAUGAUUGCAUAUGGAACGGUCGCUGGUUCGUGGGACGAGUACCUAUGGAUGUCUGAGAGCACACGCGAAGAUUCCAUCGUCAGGUUUGCAACUACUGUGAUCGAGGUGUUCGGACCUCAGUACCUGAGAGAACCAACUGUGGCAGGCACCGAGAGGCUCUUGGCAAUCUCAGAAGCAAGAGGGUGCCAGCAACCUCUCCUCUCCUCGUCUCUCUCCUCCGCAUCUUCAUCCGGGGAGCCAUGUGGCUGCAGCAGGAGGGGAGACAAGGAGGCCGCGCCAGCCGAUUUCCUCGCCGGAUCUGGAGUGCAGGGGCGACGCCGGCGAGUAACCGAUCAGGGAGGAGCAUUGGUCGCCGGUGAAGAAAAUAUGGGAGGGAGACGAGAGGAGCACUGA
This 582-nucleotide ribosomal RNA is filed under the name Triticum aestivum (bread wheat). RNAcentral describes it as "partial small subunit ribosomal RNA". The record is from RNAcentral. Lineage: Eukaryota; Viridiplantae; Streptophyta; Magnoliopsida; Poales; Poaceae.